AUUGAACGCUGGCGGCAGGCCUAACACAUGCAAGUCGAGCGAGCGGCGGACGGGUGAGUAAUGUCUGGGAAACUGCCUGAUGGAGGGGGAUAACUACUGGAAACGGUAGCUACUACCGCAUACCAUCAGAUUUUCCCAGAUGGGAUUAGCUAGUAGGUGGGGUAAUGGCUCACCUAGGCGACGAUCCCUAGCUGGUCUGCGAGGAUGACCAGCCACACUGGAACGGAGACACGGUCCAGACUCCUACGGGAGGCAGCAGUGGGGAAUAUUGCACAAUGGGCGCAAGCCUGAUGCAGCCAUGCCGCGUGUAUGAAGAAGGCCUUCGGGUUGUAAAGUACUUUAAGCGAGGAGGCGUUACUCGAAGAAGAAGCACCGGCUAACUCCGUGCCAGCAGCCGCGGUAAUAC
RNAcentral lists this ribosomal RNA (406 nucleotides) under uncultured bacterium. RNAcentral describes it as "partial 16S ribosomal RNA". It matches the Rfam family "Bacterial small subunit ribosomal RNA", at positions 30 to 526 of the family's 1533-position model. The record is from RNAcentral.